AGAGUUUGAUCAUGGCUCAGGAUGAACGCUAGCGGCAGGCCUAAUACAUGCAAGUCGGACGGGAUUGUGGUGCUUGCACUACAUGAGAGUGGCGCACGGGUGCGUAACACGUAUGUAACCUACCCAUAUCAGGGGGGAUAGCCUCUCGAAAGAGAGAUUAAGCCCGCAUAACAUCAACUUAUGGCAUCAUAGGGUGAUCAAAUAUUUAUAGGAUAUGGAUGGGCAUGCGGAACAUUAGCUAGUUGGUAAGGUAACGGCUUACCAAGGCUACGAUGUUUAGGGGAUCUGAGAGGAUGACCCCCCACACUGGUACUGAGACACGGACCAGACUCCUACGGGAGGCAGCAGUAAGGAAUAUUGGUCAAUGGACGAAAGUCUGAACCAGCCAUGCCGCGUGCAGGAAGACGGCCCUACGGGUUGUAAACUGCUUUUGUACUGGAAUAAACCCCCGAUCGUGAUCGGGGUUGAAUGUACAGUAAGAAUAAGGAUCGGCUAACUCCGUGCCAGCAGCCGCGGUAAUACGGAGGAUCCGAGCGUUAUCCGGAUUUAUUGGGUUUAAAGGGUGCGUAGGCGGCUUUUUAAGUCAGGGGUGAAAGACGGUAGCUUAACUAUCGCAGUGCCUUUGAUACUGAAGAGCUUGAAUGUACUUGAGGUAGGCGGAAUGUGACAAGUAGCGGUGAAAUGCAUAGAUAUGUCACAGAACACCAAUUGCGAAGGCAGCUUACUAAAGUAUGAUUGACGCUGAGGCACGAAAGCGUGGGGAUCAAACAGGAUUAGAUACCCUAGUAGUCC
This 792-nucleotide ribosomal RNA is filed under the name uncultured bacterium. RNAcentral describes it as "bacterial SSU rRNA". It matches the Rfam family "Bacterial small subunit ribosomal RNA", at positions 8 to 796 of the family's 1533-position model. The record is from RNAcentral.